GAGACAUUAAAGCACAGAGAGGUUGCCAAAGAAAAUGGUAGUGCAGCCCAGGUCUGAGCAGUGCAGCCCAGCUCAGAUUAACAACCUGGACUCCUAGUCAUGACAGUACUUGGUCCUCACACAGGGCAGAGCGCCUAAGGAGCAGGGCUGAAGAGUCGAAAGAAAAGACGCCAGCUGCGAAGAAAGGGUACAGGAUGUCUUUGAAAAGGGAACAGGCUGUUUUUGCACUGCAACAUCAAAGUUGACGACAUAGGACAGAGGCUGUUUGGCCCACAAAGCUGAAAAUUUCUACCAUGUGGAUCUUUACAGAAAAAACUUGGCACCUCC
RNAcentral lists this long non-coding RNA (327 nucleotides) under Equus caballus (horse). Its description in RNAcentral is "lncRNA (ENSECAG00000048344.1)". Lineage: Eukaryota; Metazoa; Chordata; Mammalia; Perissodactyla; Equidae. The record is from RNAcentral.